This 390-nucleotide ribosomal RNA is filed under the name Chelonus sp. RNAcentral's name for it is "partial 16S ribosomal RNA". The record is from RNAcentral. Lineage: Eukaryota; Metazoa; Arthropoda; Insecta; Hymenoptera; Braconidae.
CUGCUCAAUGAAUAAUAUAUUUAAAUAGCUGCAGUAUUUAUAACUGUACAAAGGUAGCAUAAUAAAUAGUUUUUUAAUUAAAAACUUGAAUGAAAGAUUAAAUGAAAAAAUAACUUUAUCAAAUUAAAAUAAUAAAAUUUUAAUUUAAGUAAAAUAAUUUAAAUUAAAUUAAAAAGACGGGAAGACCCUAUAGAAUAAAAAUUAAAAAAAAAAAUUUAUUUAUUUGGGGAAUUAAAAAUUUAAAUAAUUUUUAUUAUUUAAAAAACAAAAAAUAUUGAUUAAAAUAAUUUUUAAAAAAAUAAAUAAAAGUUACUUUAGGGAUAACAGCAUAAUUUUUUUAAAUAGUUCAUAUAAAUAAAAAAGUUUAUGACCUCGAUGUUGAAUUAAGAU